This 256-nucleotide ribosomal RNA is filed under the name uncultured bacterium. Its description in RNAcentral is "partial 16S ribosomal RNA". It matches the Rfam family "Bacterial small subunit ribosomal RNA", at positions 524 to 776 of the family's 1533-position model. The record is from RNAcentral.
UACGUAGGUGGCAAGCGUUGUCCGGAUUUACUGGGCGUAAAGGAUGCGUAGGCGGACAUUUUAAGUCAGAUGUGAAAUACCCGAGCUUAACUUGGGUGCUGCAUUUGAAACUGGGUGUCUAGAGUGCAGGAGAGGUAAGUGGAAUUCCUAGUGUAGCGGUGAAAAUGCGUAGAGAUUAGGAAGAACACCGUGGCGAAGGCGACUUACUGGACUGUAACUGACGCUGGAGGCAUGAAAGCGUGGGGGAGCAAACAGG